UCCUCUGAAGUCCUAGAUGGAAAGCAGC
RNAcentral lists this non-coding RNA (28 nucleotides) under Rattus norvegicus (Norway rat). Lineage: Eukaryota; Metazoa; Chordata; Mammalia; Rodentia; Muridae. The record is from RNAcentral.